This 426-nucleotide ribosomal RNA is filed under the name uncultured cyanobacterium. RNAcentral describes it as "bacterial SSU rRNA". It matches the Rfam family "Bacterial small subunit ribosomal RNA", at positions 356 to 795 of the family's 1533-position model. Lineage: Bacteria; Bacillati; Cyanobacteriota. The record is from RNAcentral.
GGGGAAUUUUCCGCAAUGGGCGAAAGCCUGACGGAACAAUACCGCGUGAGGGAGGAAGGCUCUUGGGUUGUAAACCUCUUUUCUCAGGGAAUAAGAANCUGAAGGUACCUGAGGAAUCAGCAUCGGCUAACUCCGUACCAGCAGCCGCGGUAAUANCGGAGGAUGCAAGCGUUAUCCGGAAUGAUUGGGCGUAAAGCGUCCGCAGGUGGUUUAUCAAGUCUGCUGUCAAAGAGUUUGGCUCAACCAAAUAAAGGCAGUGGAAACUGACAGACUGGAGUGCGGUAAGGGCAGAGGGAAUUCCUGGUGUAGCGGUGAAAUGCGUAGAGAUCAGGAAGAACACCGGUGGCGAAAGCGCUCUGCUGGGCCGUAACUGACACUGAGGGACGAAAGCUAGGGGAGCGAAUGGGAUUAGAUACCCCAGUAGUC